UCCGCGUUUCUUUGACAAUUGAAUAUGGGUAAGUAGAUAGAGAUGCAUAACACGCGUUUUUUCAGAACGUGGUGGAACUGCAGAUCGCAUGAGAUCAAGGCACUUUAUGGUCAAGUUACUAAGGGUUGACGGUGGAUGCCUUGGCACAGAGAGGCGACGAAGGACGUGGCAAGCAGCGAUAUGCCUCGGGGAGCGGCAAGCACGCUUUGAUCCGGGGAUUUCCGAAUGGGGCAACCCCACUGGAGUCAUGUCCAGUGAUCUCGGCCUGAAUACAUAGGGACGAAGAGGCGAACCGAGGGAAGUGAACCAUCUCAGUACCUCGAGGAAGAGAAAUCAAACGAGAUUCCGUCAGUAGCGGCGAGCGAACGCGGAAGAGCCCAAACCGACGGCCUUCGGGUUGUCGGGGUUGUGGGGCCUGCUCACAUGGAGUGACAAACCAUUUGUUUAGUCGAAGAGUCCGGAACGGCUCACCAGAGAAGGUGACAGUCCUGUAGGCGAAAAGCAAAUGGCUCCGAGCAGGUACCCGAGUACCACGGGACACGUGGAACCCUGUGGGAAUCUGGGGGGACCAUCCUCCAAGGCUAAAGACUACUCUGUGACCGAUAGCGCACUAGUACCGUGAGGGAAAGGUGAAAAGAACCCCUGUUAGGGGAGUGAAAUAGUACCUGAAACCGUCAAUCUACAAGCAGUGGAACCGCUAUGCCUCCGCAAGGGGGAAUGCGGGACCGCGUGCCUUUUGCAUAAUGAGCCGGCUAGUUA
RNAcentral lists this ribosomal RNA (759 nucleotides) under uncultured bacterium. RNAcentral's name for it is "bacterial LSU rRNA". The stretch from base 109 to 759 matches the Rfam family "Bacterial large subunit ribosomal RNA", at positions 1 to 630 of the family's 2925-position model. The record is from RNAcentral.